GAAGCAGCUUCGUUCUGCCCCUCACCCUACAGUGAGUCCCACACCCUCUCAGAAUGUCCAGUGAACUGUGCAAUAGCUCCCCUAUAUGAAUCCAGGAACAGAGAGCCAGGAAUCACCUAGAGAUCAAAGGGAGUCUCUAAUGGGAAAGACAAAGUCCAAAAUAAACAAGUAGAAAAUGAACUCAGGUCAAAGAUGCAGGACAAAGGGCAAAAGAAACUUCGGUGGAACCCAGUAUAAUUAAUCAUCAGAGAGCUAUGAGAGCAUAUUGCAAACAUACAAAAAGAACAGGAUGCUAUGGAAAAAGGCACAUCCCUGGGACCAGAAAGAGCUCUGAAAAUUAAAAAGGCAGGAGACAGGAAGUGAGGAAUUCAGCAGGAAUGGAAAAUAAAGUUGACAACAUCUCCCAGAAAAUAGAAUCACAGGUAAAGAGAAGAAAAUUGGAGAAAAGAGAAUAAAAUUACAGAUGCAAUUUAGGAGUUCUAAUAUCUCAUUGGUAGUUUAAGACUGGCAAGGAAACAGACAAGGGAAUCGUGGGAGAAUUCCC
RNAcentral lists this long non-coding RNA (544 nucleotides) under Marmota monax (woodchuck). The record is from RNAcentral. Lineage: Eukaryota; Metazoa; Chordata; Mammalia; Rodentia; Sciuridae.